UGGCUCAGAUUGAACGCUGGCGGCAGGCCUAACACAUGCAAGUCGAGCGGCAGCGGGAAAGUAGCUUGCUACUUUUGCCGGCGAGCGGCGGACGGGUGAGUAAUGCCUGGGGAUCUGCCCAGUCGAGGGGGAUAACAGUUGGAAACGACUGCUAAUACCGCAUACGCCCUACGGGGGAAAGGAGGGGACCUUCGGGCCUUUCGCGAUUGGAUGAACCCAGGUGGGAUUAGCUAGUUGGUGGGGUAAUGGCUCACCAAGGCGACGAUCCCUAGCUGGUCUGAGAGGAUGAUCAGCCACACUGGAACUGAGACACGGUCCAGACUCCUACGGGAGGCAGCAGUGGGGAAUAUUGCACAAUGGGGGAAACCCUGAUGCAGCCAUGCCGCGUGUGUGAAGAAGGCCUUCGGGUUGUAAAGCACUUUCAGCGAGGAGGAAAGGUUGGCAGCUAAUAUCUGUCAGCUGUGACGUUACUCGCAGAAGAAGCACCGGCUAACUCCGUGCCAGCAGCCGCGGUAAU
This 517-nucleotide ribosomal RNA is filed under the name uncultured bacterium. RNAcentral's name for it is "bacterial SSU rRNA". It matches the Rfam family "Bacterial small subunit ribosomal RNA", at positions 20 to 524 of the family's 1533-position model. The record is from RNAcentral.